Dermacentor silvarum is the source of this 312-nucleotide long non-coding RNA. RefSeq lists it as uncharacterized. Lineage: Eukaryota; Metazoa; Arthropoda; Arachnida; Ixodida; Ixodidae. The record is from RefSeq and is a predicted model, not a curated record. The transcript has 3 exons.
GCUCUCUUACUUCUUCUACCAUACGCUUCGUGUACUUUAUUGGGAAUUGCGAUAACGAUAUGGUACAGAGGAUGUGAUCCAGGGCUGUCAGGUGCCAUAAAGAGGAUUGACCAGAUUAUACCACACUACAUAAAUACUGAACUUGUAAAUAUACCCGGACUUGCAGGACUCUUCUUGGCUGGUGUUGUAAGCGCUGCAACAAGCACAAUAUCAUCCGCGAUAAAUUCGCAAGCAGCAAUCCUCUACAUCGACGUCAUCUCUCAAGGAUAUAAAAGAGCAGACGAGCACGUUUUGAUGAUUACACGUACCACU